Molecule: ribosomal RNA, 253 nt
Filed under: uncultured prokaryote
Description: partial 16S ribosomal RNA
Rfam family: Bacterial small subunit ribosomal RNA
Source: RNAcentral
GACGGAGGAGGCAAGCGUUAUCCGGAAUUAUUGGGCGUAAAGGGUCCGCAGGUGGUCGUUCAAGUCUGCUGUCAAAGGUCAAGGCUUAACCUUGGACAGGCAGUGGAAACUGGAUGACUAGAGAAUGGUAGGGGCAGAGGGAAUUCCCGGUGUAGCGGUGAAAUGCGUAGAUAUCGGGAAGAACACCAGUGGCGAAAGCGCUCUGCUGGGCCAAUUCUGACACUGAGGGACGAAAGCUAGGGGAGCGAAAGGG